Long non-coding RNA from Octopus sinensis (East Asian common octopus), 1723 nucleotides. RefSeq lists it as uncharacterized. Lineage: Eukaryota; Metazoa; Mollusca; Cephalopoda; Octopoda; Octopodidae. The record is from RefSeq and is a predicted model, not a curated record. The transcript has 2 exons.
CUAAUAUUUAUUAUUAUUAAUAUAUUGUCAUUUAAUUUCUGAAUAUCUUUACUCAAUGUCUUGAUGUAUAUUUAUAUUUUUUUAAAUUGUUGAUUUCUCUGAUUUAUUUUUGUUUUUUAAUUGAAUCUUGCCCAAAGCAUCGAAUGAUUUAUUAAUCAAAAGUCUCUAAUUGUUCCAAAGUUCUUGAGUUAGCGAUUGUUUUAUUAGAAGUUGUAAUUAGUUAUUGCUUUUUAUGUUUUUAUGUUGAUUUAAGAAUAAAUUACCCUGCUGCAAUUGUACGUAUUUUCUUUUUAGAAAUCUAUAAAUGGUUAAUUCCUUUGCGUGUCAAUUUAGCAUGUGGCGAUUUCGUGCUACGAACAUUCUAUCACCUUUUAACAUAUAAAAAAUGUUUAAGUCAAGUUUAUAACAGUUUUUGUAUCCUUUUAAACGGCUAAUAUGUCUCUUCCACGCUGUAAUUGUUUAGUCACGUAUCAAAUGACUUGCCGGUCAUGUACCCCUCUGGAAAAACAUCUGUAUUUCUGUACUAAAUUAAUUCAAACUUCUAAUCAAAAUUUAAGAGAUGAUAGAAAUUAAAUUGUGAAACAUCAGGAAAUUAAUAUAAACGAUUUUAUUAAACAGUAAGAAGUUAUAAAAAUAGCUUUGUAGUUAGUUCGGACAAUUACUGCCGUAAGUAAUGUUAUGGCCAUAUAUCACGUGGAGUGUUUGGUGUCAAUGUGUGGGCUGAGAAGUAAAAAAUAUUCGAGUUGUUUUAAAUUAACUCGGACAGAUUGUUAAUCCAGAUCAUCUCUGAUUGACCCAUUUCUAUGAUCAAAAGUGUUUCAGUCGUGAUCUUCCUAUCUUUUUUGUAUAUCUGGGACUAACAUUGUUCUAUAAAACAAUAAGGAUGUAUUGUAAGGGAAUUUGGCGGUAUAACUAUAGUCCCUCUCCCACUGUCUUUGUAUCCGCGUAAAGUCGGUGGUGGCGGGCAGCAAUCUGUCAUUAAUGCUCAUAUUUUUAAUAAGAUUUGAAGGGGAUACGUUUUCGGGGUACUAGUUUUCGAAUGCAUGGGUUAUGGUUAUGAUUAUUUUAAAAAGAGAGGUUCAGACCUUUUUAAUCAUUCAGUAACUUAUCCAUGGUCGUUGCAAAGUGUAACGGGACACAUUGCAAUAUUUCAUUCAAAAUGUAGGUAGAAUUGUUCUUUAAGGUUUCUAUGAGUGAAUCAACUUGAAGAAUCUUGACCUCAGCCUGCUGAGCGUAAAGAAUCCACUUCCCCACCCAGCUCAAAUUAUUUAGGAUAACAAAACUAUUCCUUUGUGUUGUGCACCUUUGAUUAUAAAAAUUUAAAGAUAACAAAACAAACAUUUACUGUAUUCUAAAAUUUACUGAUGCCGUAGUAAUAUUACAAAAUAUCUGGUUAUAUAUGUUGUUAGUGAUAGCAUUGUUUAUCUAAGGUCAGCUCGGAUCAAACAGACAUGCUCAAAAGCGUUCUACCGUGACCAUCUCAUUUAAAUCUGUAGGGAUUAAUGAUGGUGUGUUAGAGUUCUGAUCUUAUCUGAAAAAUUACAUCCCAUCCAUCUCCAGGGUGCCCUCUGAAUAAUUGUCACUUUCCUGGGCCUGGAAUCGUGAUACUUUACCUCUAGAGUGAGAUCUUCAACCAAAAGAAUUUCUACUAACUUGCAGAACUAUAACAACAGUCCUCUUAAUAAUCCAACUUCAUUUGCUGCCCAUAUUAUUUCUAACUACC